UGUUAAUUAUGAACCUGUAGGUAGCCUUAUAUUCCUGUUAAUUAUGAACCUGUAGGUAGCCUUAUAUCCCUGUUAAUUAUGAACCUGUAGGUAGCCUUAUAUCCCUCUGUUAAUUAUGAACUGUAGGUAGCUUAUAUCCCUCUGUUAAUUAUGAACCUGUAGGUAGCCUUAUAUCCUCUGUUAAUUAUGAACCUGUAGGUAGCCUUAUAUCCCUUGUUAAUUAUGAACCUGUA
This is a non-coding RNA of Salvelinus sp. IW2-2015, 233 nucleotides long. NCBI's taxonomy places the organism in Eukaryota, Metazoa, Chordata, Actinopteri, Salmoniformes, Salmonidae. The record is from RefSeq and is a predicted model, not a curated record.